UCUCCGUUGGUGAACCAGCGGAGGGAUCAUUACAGGACUCGCAAGACUCCUUCACCCUGUGAACCUCACUACAAGCACGUUGCUUCGGCGGGUGUCCCGGCGGGGGUUUUCCCUCGCCGGGGCGCACAGCCCGCCGGCAGCCUACUAUACUCUGUCUCUUUGCGUUGGCAUCUCGAGAAAAAACAAACAAGUUAAAACUUACAACAACGGAUCUCUUGGUUCUG
RNAcentral lists this unclassified non-coding RNA (224 nucleotides) under plant metagenome. RNAcentral describes it as "partial contains small subunit ribosomal RNA, internal transcribed spacer 1, and 5.8S ribosomal RNA". The record is from RNAcentral.